Molecule: ribosomal RNA, 327 nt
Filed under: Microsporidium sp.
Lineage: Eukaryota; Fungi; Microsporidia
Description: SSU rRNA
Rfam family: Microsporidia small subunit ribosomal RNA
Source: RNAcentral
GAAUGCUGCAGUUAAAAUGUCCGUAGUCUGGUCUGCAGCGAAAGCGCGCCGCUCAGAGGCGCGUGUGCUGCAGCUGGUGGCGGGGCGGACGGGGGGCGUGGUAUGCGCGGGCGAGAGAUGAAACGCCAGGACCCCGCGCGGACCGACAGUGGCGAAGGCGGCGCUCCCGGACGCACCUGAGGAUCAAGGACGGAGGCCGGAGGAUCGAAAGUGAUUAGAGACCGCUGUAGUUCCGGCAGUAAACGAUGCCGACACCGCGUGGCGUGUGCUGCGCGGCGGGGAAACCAUAGUGUUCGGGCUCUGGGGAUAGUACGCUCGCAAGGGUGA